AAGGCCCUCUGGGUUGUAAACUCCUUUUAUCUGGGAAGAAAUGCAUUUUUUCUAAAGUGCUUGACGGUACCAGAGGAAUAAGCACCGGCUAACUCCGUGCCAGCAGCCGCGGUAAUACGGAGGGUGCAAGCGUUAUCCGGAUUCACUGGGUUUAAAGGGUGCGUAGGCGGGCAGGUAAGUCCGUGGUGAAAUCUCUGAGCUUAACUCAGAAACUGCCAUGGAUACUAUUUGUCUUGAAUGUUGUGGAGGUAAGCGGAAUAUGUCAUGUAGCGGUGAAAUGCUUAGAUAUGACAUAGAACACCAAUUGCGAAGGCAGCUUACUACACAAAUAUUGACGCUGAGGCACGAAAGCGUGGGGAUCAAACAGGAUUAGAUACCCUGGUAGUCCACGCCCUAAACGAUGAUUACUCGACAUCAGCGAUACACUGUUGGUGUCUGAGCGAAAGCAUUAAGUAAUCCACCUGGGAAGUACGAUCGCAAGAUUGAAACUC
RNAcentral lists this ribosomal RNA (491 nucleotides) under uncultured bacterium. Its description in RNAcentral is "bacterial SSU rRNA". It matches the Rfam family "Bacterial small subunit ribosomal RNA", at positions 411 to 902 of the family's 1533-position model. The record is from RNAcentral.